GGCGGCGUGCUUAACACAUGCAAGUCGAACGAUGAAGCCCUUCGGGGUGGAUUAGUGGCGAACGGGUGAGUAACACGUGGGCAAUCUGCCCUGCACUCUGGGACAAGCCCUGGAAACGGGGUCUAAUACCGGAUACGAGCCUCCUGGGCAUCUGGGAGGUUGGAAAGCUCCGGCGGUGCAGGAUGAGCCCGCGGCCUAUCAGCUUGUUGGUGAGGUAACGGCUCACCAAGGCGACGACGGGUAGCCGGCCUGAGAGGGCGACCGGCCACACUGGGACUGAGACACGGCCCAGACUCCUACGGGAGGCAGCAGUGGGGAAUAUUGCACAAUGGGCGCAAGCCUGAUGCAGCGACGCCGCGUGAGGGAUGACGGCCUUCGGGUUGUAAACCUCUUUCAGCAGGGAAGAAGCGAGAGUGACGGUACCUGCAGAAGAAGCGCCGGCUAACUACGUGCCAGCAGCCGCGGUAAUACGUAGGGCGCAAGCGUUGUCCGGAAUUAUUGGGCGUAAAGAGCUCGUAGGCGGCUUGUCGCGUCGAUUGUGAAAGCCCGGGGCUUAACUCCGGGUCUGCAGUCGAUACGGGCAGGCUAGAGUGUGGUAGGGGAGAUCGGAAUUCCUGGUGUAGCGGUGAAAUGCGCAGAUAUCAGGAGGAACACCGGUGGCGAAGGCGGAUCUCUGGGCCAUUACUGACGCUGAGGAGCGAAAGCGUGGGGAGCGAACAGGAUUAGAUACCCUGGUAGUCCACGCCGUAAACGGUGGGAACUAGGUGUUGGCGACAUUCCACGUCGUCGGUGCCGCAGCUAACGCAUUAAGUUCCCCGCCUGGGGAGUACGGCCGC
RNAcentral lists this ribosomal RNA (836 nucleotides) under Streptomyces sp. IM-7236. RNAcentral's name for it is "bacterial SSU rRNA". It matches the Rfam family "Bacterial small subunit ribosomal RNA", at positions 38 to 889 of the family's 1533-position model. The record is from RNAcentral. Lineage: Bacteria; Bacillati; Actinomycetota; Actinomycetes; Kitasatosporales; Streptomycetaceae.